GGUCCCAUGGUGUAAUGGGCAGCACUCAGGACUUUGAAUCCUGGAAUCUGAGUUUGAAUCUCAGUGGGACCU
Non-coding RNA from Mauremys reevesii (Reeves's turtle), 72 nucleotides. The record is from the annotation of a RefSeq genome assembly. Lineage: Eukaryota; Metazoa; Chordata; Testudines; Geoemydidae.